Molecule: transfer RNA, 73 nt
Filed under: Antrihabitans auranticaus
Lineage: Bacteria; Bacillati; Actinomycetota; Actinomycetes; Mycobacteriales; Nocardiaceae
Also listed under: 1 other name
Description: Antrihabitans sp. YC2-6 tRNA
Rfam family: tRNA
About the family: Transfer RNA (tRNA) molecules are approximately 80 nucleotides in length. Their secondary structure includes four short double-helical elements and three loops (D, anti-codon, and T loops).
Source: Rfam by way of RNAcentral
GCCCCUAUAGCUCAGUUGGUAGAGCUACUGACUUUUAAUCAGCAGGUCGCAGGUUCGAGUCCUGCUGGGGGCA